Long non-coding RNA from Phascolarctos cinereus (koala), 2175 nucleotides. Lineage: Eukaryota; Metazoa; Chordata; Mammalia; Diprotodontia; Phascolarctidae. The record is from Ensembl.
AAAAAGGUGAAGACCUGUGAUGUAUUGAGAGAAAAGGAGAGGACCCAUCCCAGAACCCACAGCAGGAAGGACAUGGUCGGCGAGCCUGGCUGCAGAGGAAACCCAAGCUCACACUAGAGAGGGAGGAGCAUCUGGGAGAAAGGGCUGAGCAACAGCGCCAAAGGUUAUGCAGAAGCUGGGGAUGAGGACUGAGAAAAGGCCAUUGGAAAGAGCCAGACUCCCAAAGGUUGGGAAGGGAGUGGAAGGUAAGAAAGCGGAGGCAGCCACUGGACACCGCUUAUCCAGAACUCGGUCUAAGAAAGAGGAAGGAAGAUACCAGCAGGCAGGUCGAGGGCUAUCUGUCCAAACUGGGCUGCAGCUGAGAGCAGGCAGUGAAAUCCUGCAGAAUCAGAGACUCUCCGAACUCCAAAAUGUCUGAGCUGGGAGAGCUCUCAAGCUUCCCGAACUCAGAACACAGAAGGGGAGAGUCGGGAGGAAGCUCGAAGUCCAUCCAGUCUAGGUCCUCAAGUGUGGCCUUUUGACUGAACCCAAACUUCACAGGGCAAAGCCCCUUAGUCUGAUGACCAAGACAUUGAGGCCCAGGGAAGGGAAAGGUCACUCCGGAUGUUAGGGGCAGAGCCUGUUCUGACCGCAAUCUGUUCUCCCGAUCCUCUUUCUGCUGAAAUCCCAGGACACCUGGUCUCCCAGCAACAGCAGGCUCUGAUGAGAAGUGCAGGCAGGGAACGGCUUCAGAACUCCCCCGAGACGAAAGAGCCUUGGCACCUCAGCUUCCUGGUCCCAGGGCCGCCCCAGACAAAGCAUCAGCCAAAAUCCAGGGCCCCAGGGGUAGUUUCUGCCUCUCUAUCUCUCCAGGCCACCCCAGCUCUCAGCUCUCCGCAUGGCCUGGGGAACGUUGCUGGUGCUUUUCUUGUUGGAAACGGAGGGACGGCUGCCAUCCUGGUGCACAGAUAUGGGAGGCCGAGAUGGUCCUGCUUCCCUUCAGCAAUAGCUCUGAAAAGCUACAUGGUGCCUGGGACAAUUGUGGGCUCUUCGAGGCAGUUGGCUGGCAAUGAGAUGCCCAGGUGGGCAGACCUCUUUGACAAGAUGGGAGGAAAGGCUUCUGAGGAUUGAACCCGUCUCCAAACCAAAACCAAAUUACACUUCCCUUCCUUCAUCUGAACAGCUAGGUGCCUCCCCACCCCAGGAAGGGCCAGAAGUACUUGUUCUAAGUCAGCUAAGUCAUCCCAGAUGUGGGGCUGCUCUUCCCCAUAGGCCCACUGACCUAACCUUGACCUUUAAGCCUAACCCUGAAUGUGCACCCAGCUGAAAGGCAAUUUGAGGACUUUUAAAAAAUAGGAAGUCCCAUAAGGGAGAAGAGGCAGACUUGUCCUUUUUCACCAUCACCCCCUCAUUGUGGCAGGCAUGACCCAUCACAAAGCAGGGUAUUGUCUGGUCUCACCAUCAAUUGUUUGGUGGAGAACCAGCAGCCAUAUUCAAUCACCCUGACUUGAGUAAGCCUAGAGUGAGCAUCAUCUCCUGGGUUCCUUUAGGGUCUCUUGCUGCAAUUAUCUUCUUCCAUAGGAUAAGAGAGACAGAUUUCCUCUUUGAAUUUCUAGUCAAUGCCAGUUCUGUCCAAGUUGGCCAGUGGGUUACCAUGAAGCCACCUCCCCUCAUGGGGAGGAUGUUCCCAAGUGUCCCAAGCAACACCCUUAGGAGAUUCAGGAGGGCCUCCCCUUGGGGAGCUUUCUCUCCAGGGUCCCUUUGGACUCAGCAAAAGGAAAGUGAAGUUGUAUCACUCCAUCAAGUCAUUGAGGCAGCAGCACACGGACAAGAAGCCAUUUGCUGGCCACUGACCAAGUCACCUUUUCCAGGUGGGGGUUUGGGGAUUAGGGAGCAUGCCGCCCCUCGGCCAGGACAACACAGACCUUGCCUAGAUCUGAACCUAGAGAGUGACAGCCCACCUAAGGUCAAAAUAGGGGAAAGAGAAGAAAAAGGAUGUGAUGUGAGGCGAAGACCGACACAGCAGACAGACGAGGGAAACCACCCAGGGCUGUGGCAAGUUGCCGUGGGUCCCAUUCUGUCUGUUUUUAGGCUCCCCAAAGUGAACUGAUUUUUAGGAAAGCCUAUUAAAAGGGGAAGACAAUUAAAACUACUGCCAGGAUAAGAAUAAAACCAAACCACAAAACUGGAGAAACA